Molecule: ribosomal RNA, 468 nt
Filed under: uncultured bacterium
Lineage: Bacteria
Description: partial 16S ribosomal RNA
Rfam family: Bacterial small subunit ribosomal RNA
Source: RNAcentral
GACGAACGCUGGCGGCGUGCUUAACACAUGCAAGUCGAACGGAAAGGCCCUGCUUUUGUGGGGUGCUCGAGUGGCGAACGGGUGAGUAACACGUGAGUAAACUGCCCUUGUCUUUGGGAUAACUUCAGGAAACUGGGGCUCAUACCGGAUAGGAGCUCCUGCUGCAUGGUGGGCGUUGGAAAGUUUCGGCGGUUGGGGAUGGACUCGCGGCUUAUCCGCUUGUUGGUGGGGUAGUGGCUUACCAAGGCUUUGACGGGUAGCCGGCCUGAGAGGGUGACCGGCCACAUUGGGACUGAGAUACGGCCCAGACUCCUACGGGAGGCAGCAGUGGGGAAUAUUGCACAAUGGGCGGAAGCCUGAUGCAGCAACGCCGCGUGCGGGAUGACGGCCUUCGGGUUGUAAACCGCUUUCGCCUGUGACGAAGCGUGAGUGACGGUAAUGGGUAAAGAAGCACCGGCUAACUACGUG